Molecule: ribosomal RNA, 488 nt
Filed under: Escherichia coli
Lineage: Bacteria; Pseudomonadati; Pseudomonadota; Gammaproteobacteria; Enterobacterales; Enterobacteriaceae
Description: bacterial SSU rRNA
Rfam family: Bacterial small subunit ribosomal RNA
Source: RNAcentral
UGUCGUCAGCUCGUGUUGUGAAAUGUUGGGUUAAGUCCCGCAACGAGCGCAACCCUUAUCCUUUGUUGCCAGCGGUCCGGCCGGGAACUCAAAGGAGACUGCCAGUGAUAAACUGGAGGAAGGUGGGGAUGACGUCAAGUCAUCAUGGCCCUUACGACCAGGGCUACACACGUGCUACAAUGGCGCAUACAAAGAGAAGCGACCUCGCGAGAGCAAGCGGACCUCAUAAAGUGCGUCGUAGUCCGGAUUGGAGUCUGCAACUCGACUCCAUGAAGUCGGAAUCGCUAGUAAUCGUGGAUCAGAAUGCCACGGUGAAUACGUUCCCGGGCCUUGUACACACCGCCCGUCACACCAUGGGAGUGGGUUGCAAAAGAAGUAGGUAGCUUAACCUUCGGGAGGGCGCUUACCACUUUGUGAUUCAUGACUGGGGUGAAGUCGUAACAAGGUAACCGUAGGGGAACCUGCGGUUGGAUCACCUCCUUACCUUA